AACCAUAGAAACCUGCGGAGUACCUGCGGAGGGAUCAUUAUAGUAUAUGGAAUCUCCAUUCUAUAAACCCACUCUGCGUAUCUUGUAACUGUUGCUUCCAUGGGACUUGGUUCCGCCACACCGGCUUCACGGCUGGCGAGCGCCCAUGGAAGGAGAAACAAAACUCUUCUUUGAAAUGUAGUCAGUCUGAACAAGUUUUUAUAAACGUUAAAACUUUUAACAAUGGAUCUCAGAUCGGAA
Molecule: unclassified non-coding RNA, 240 nt
Filed under: soil metagenome
Description: partial contains 5.8S ribosomal RNA, internal transcribed spacer 2, and large subunit ribosomal RNA
Source: RNAcentral